UUCCGGUUGAUCCUGCCGGAGGCCACCGCUAUUGGAAUCCGAUUAAGACAUGUGAGUCGAGAGUCUUCGGGACUCGGCAGACGGCUCAGUAACACGCGGAUAAUCUGCCCUUAGGCGGGGAAUAAUCUCGGGAAACUGAGCAUAAUACCCCAUAGGCCUGAGAUGCUGGAACGCCCUCAGGCUAAAAGCUCCGGCGCCUAAGGAUGAGUCUGCGGCCUAUCAGCUUGUAGUUGGUGUAAAUGACCAACUAGGCGACGACGGGUACGGGCAUUGGGAGAUGUAGCCCGGAGAUGGACUCUGAGACACGAGUCCAGGCCCUACGGGGCGCAGCAGUCGCGAAAACUUCACAAUGUGGGAAACCGCGAUGAGGGGAUUCCAAGUGCUUGCGUUUUGCGUAAGCUGUUCUUCUGCCUAAAAAGCAGGGGAAGUAAGGGCUGGGUAAGACGGGUGCCAGCGGCCGCGGUAAUACCCGCAGCCCGAGUGGUGGUCGAUAUUAUUGAGCUUAAAGCGUCCGUAGCCUGUCUGGUAAAUUCUUGGGUAAAUCGUGCAGCUUAACUGUUCGAAUUCCGGGGAGACUGCCAGACUUGGGACCGGGAGAGGUUGGAGGUACUCCUGGGGUAGGGGUAAAAUCCCGUAAUCCUGGGAGGACCACCAGUGGCGAAAGCGUCCAACUGGAACGGAUCCGACGGUCAGGACGAAGCCCUGGGUCGCGAACUGGAUUAGAUACCCAGGUAGUCCAGGGUGUAAACGCUGCAGACUUGGUGUCGGAGGUCCUACGAGGGCGUCCGGUGCCGGAGAGAAAUUGUUAAGUCUGCCGCUUGGGGAGUACGUCGCAAGGAUGAAACUUAAAGGAAUGGCCGGGAGAGCAUCGCAACGGAGAGCGUGCGGUUCAUUGAAUCACGCCGG
RNAcentral lists this ribosomal RNA (906 nucleotides) under uncultured archaeon. Its description in RNAcentral is "partial 16S ribosomal RNA". It matches the Rfam family "Archaeal small subunit ribosomal RNA", at positions 1 to 921 of the family's 1478-position model. The record is from RNAcentral.